CACUCCUGCGGGAGGCAGCAGUGGGGAAUUUUGGACAAUGGGGGCAACCCUGAUCCAGCAAUGCCGCGUGAGUGAAGAAGGCCUUCGGGUUGUAAAGCUCUUUUGUCAGGGAAGAAACGGUAGUAGCGAAUAACUAUUACUAAUGACGGUACCUGAAGAAUAAGCACCGGCUAACUACGUGCCAGCAGCCGCGGUAAUACGUAGGGUGCAAGCGUUAAUCGGAAUUACUGGGCGUAAAGCGUGCGCAGGCGGUUGUGUAAGUCAGAUGUGAAAUCCCCGGGCUCAACCUUGGAAUUGCAGUUGGGACUGCACGGCUAGAGUGUGUCAGAGGGGGGUAGAAUUCCACGUGUAGCAGUGAAAUGCGUAGAUAUGUGGAGGAAUACCGAUGGCGAAGGCAGCCCCCUGGGAUAACACUGACGCUCAUGCACGAAAGCGUGGGGAGCAAACAGGAUUAGAAACCCUGGUAGUCCCAUGA
This 475-nucleotide ribosomal RNA is filed under the name uncultured organism. RNAcentral's name for it is "partial 16S ribosomal RNA". It matches the Rfam family "Bacterial small subunit ribosomal RNA", at positions 334 to 800 of the family's 1533-position model. The record is from RNAcentral.